This 462-nucleotide ribosomal RNA is filed under the name uncultured bacterium. RNAcentral's name for it is "partial 16S ribosomal RNA". It matches the Rfam family "Bacterial small subunit ribosomal RNA", at positions 28 to 507 of the family's 1533-position model. The record is from RNAcentral.
GACGAACGCUGGCGGCGUGCUUAACACAUGCAAGUCGAACGGAAAGGCCCUUCGGGGUACUCGAGUGGCGAAUGGGUGAGUAACACGUGGGUGAUCUGCCCUGCACUUUGGGAUAAGCCUGGGAAACUGGGUCUAAUACCGAAUAGGACCACGCGCUUCAUGGUGUGUGGUGGAAAGCUUUUGCGGUGUGGGAUGGGCCCGCGGCCUAUCAGCUUGUUGGUGGGGUAAUGGCCUACCAAGGCGACGACGGGUAGCCGGCCUGAGAGGGUGACCGGCCACACUGGGACUGAGAUACGGCCCAGACUCCUACGGGAGGCAGCAGUGGGGAAUAUUGCACAAUGGGCGCAAGCCUGAUGCAGCGACGCCGCGUGAGGGAUGACGGCCUUCGGGUUGUAAACCUCUUUCAAUAGGGACGAAGCGCAAGUGACGGUACCUAUAGAAGAAGCACCGGCCAACUACGUG